GCCAUUUGGUGGAGACUGUUGCAGCCACCUGGUCCCAGCAGACCCCAGAGGGCAGCCACACUCGCUGGUGAUGCAAUAAGCUCAUUAAAGGUGAAGCCUGGUGCCAGAUGUGU
Molecule: ribosomal RNA, 113 nt
Filed under: Panthera pardus (leopard)
Lineage: Eukaryota; Metazoa; Chordata; Mammalia; Carnivora; Felidae
Source: RNAcentral